UCCGAUGAUGGCAUGGAAUCUUUGAGACCUGAUUUCUAUUUUUUUGAUGAAAAAAUUUCAAGCAAUUUUCUCUGAGGAC
Small nucleolar RNA from Dioscorea cayenensis subsp. rotundata (Guinea yam), 79 nucleotides. RefSeq annotates it as small nucleolar RNA R66. Lineage: Eukaryota; Viridiplantae; Streptophyta; Magnoliopsida; Dioscoreales; Dioscoreaceae. The transcript has a single exon. The record is from RefSeq and is a predicted model, not a curated record.